UACGUAGGGGGCAAGCGUUGUCCGGAAUCAUUGGGCGUAAAGAGCGUGUAGGCGGCCAGACAGGUCCGUUGUGAAAAUUCGAGGCUCAACCUCGAGACGCCGAUGGAAACCGUCUGGCUAGAGUCCGGAAGAGGAGAGUGGAAUUCCUGGUGUAGCGGUGAAAUGCGCAGAUAUCAGGAAGAACACCCGUGGCUAAGGCGGCUCUCUAGUACGGUACUGACGCUGAGACGCGAAAGCGUGGGGAGCGAACAGG
RNAcentral lists this ribosomal RNA (253 nucleotides) under uncultured bacterium. RNAcentral's name for it is "partial 16S ribosomal RNA". It matches the Rfam family "Bacterial small subunit ribosomal RNA", at positions 524 to 776 of the family's 1533-position model. The record is from RNAcentral.